AAUCUUCUCUUUCUCUCUCUACGAAGCUUCCUCGAAGCUUACUAUGGAUUCCUACUCUUCCCUCCAUUUAACCUCCGCUUCUUCCUCUUUCUUUCCCCACACCAACUCUCUUUUCUAUCUGCAAAUUCUCAAUUAUGAAGCUCAUCAAAAACUUGCCCAAAAAGUUCUUCAACCACACCAACUUUCUUUUCUCUCUGCAAAUUCUCAAUUAUGAAGCUCAUCAAAAACUUGCCCAAAAAGUUCUUCAAGUCCAAAAAAACCCGCUCCAUUUCCCGAUCCAAUGAUCCGUCCUUCAGCUCUGGUACAACAUCGUCGGAAAAUUCCCUUCAUAAGCCG
This 336-nucleotide long non-coding RNA is filed under the name Nicotiana benthamiana. RNAcentral's name for it is "long non-coding RNA (NBEN_LNC018052)". The record is from RNAcentral. Lineage: Eukaryota; Viridiplantae; Streptophyta; Magnoliopsida; Solanales; Solanaceae.